Molecule: non-coding RNA, 24 nt
Filed under: Arabidopsis thaliana (thale cress)
Lineage: Eukaryota; Viridiplantae; Streptophyta; Magnoliopsida; Brassicales; Brassicaceae
Source: RNAcentral
GGCGUCUCUCCAUUUGAUGACGUA